Plectropomus leopardus (leopard coralgrouper) is the source of this 718-nucleotide long non-coding RNA. RefSeq lists it as uncharacterized. Lineage: Eukaryota; Metazoa; Chordata; Actinopteri; Perciformes; Serranidae. The record is from RefSeq and is a predicted model, not a curated record.
CUGAUGUCAUCUUGUACACGUUCUGUAUAAAAGAAGUACUGACCUCAGAGAACAUCAGAACUUCACUCUGCAGUGGAAAACAUUCAAGCUGAGAACAGAAACCUAGAGCAGAGAAAAGAAACUACAGCUGCAUCACCAUGAUUGCUCAGAUUUGUGUCGUACUCCUUCUUUUUGUUGCCGCUGGCAACGCACAGACCACUGUGGCAGCAACCACGGCCGCAGACACCACAGCUGCAGCAACAACCGCAGCUGCAGCAACCACGGCCGAAGCAACAACCGCGGCUGCAGCAACCACGGCCGAAGCAACAACCGCGGCUGCAGCAACCACGGCCGAAGCAACAACUGCAGGCGCCACAGCAACCGUGGCUGCAACCACCGCCUCUUCCUCCAUUAUCAACAAAAUCAGUCUCAUGUCGGUCACUGUGGCUGUAAUGACUCACGCACUUCGCUCAUAUUGUUGAAGAUGUUAGGAUCAGUUCUUAUCCUGUGAAAGAAGUGAUGCAAAAUGAAGAAUAUGACGAUUUGCUGUAAAUAAGCUGGUAUUUAUUGUACUGUGUGAUGUGUAUAUUUGUGCUGUUGGUCACAAUCACACUGGAUCCUCCUGGAGGUGGCUGUAAUUUGUCCGACCACCUGUGAAGGGAGGAGACUGUAAUGAUUUGAUUCAGAGGCCUGAAUCUUACUGAUAUUAACUGAAACUAAAAUAAAUGUAAGAUCAACA